ACGAACGCUGGCGGCGUGCCUAAUACAUGCAAGUAGAACGCACAGUUUAUACCGUAGCUUGCUACACCAUAGCCUGUGAGUUGCGAACGGGUGAGUAACGCGUAGGUAACCUGCCUGGUAGCGGGGGAUAACUAUUGGAAACGAUAGCUAAUACCGCAUAAUAUUAAUUAUUGCAUGAUAAUUAAUUGAAAGGUGCAAUUGCACCACUACCAGAUGGACCUGCGUUGUAUUAGCUAGUAGGUGAGGUAACGGCUCACCUAGGCGACGAUACAUAGCCGACCUGAGAGGGUGAUCGGCCACACUGGGACUGAGACACGGCCCAGACUCCUACGGGAGGCAGCAGUAGGGAAUCUUCGGCAAUGGACGAAAGUCUGACCGAGCAACGCCGCGUGAGUGAAGAAGGUUUUCGGAUCGUAAAGCUCUGUUGUAAGAGAAGAACGGGUGUGAGAGUGGAAAGUUCACACUGUGACGGUAUCUUACCAGAAAGGGACGGCUAACUACGUG
Molecule: ribosomal RNA, 504 nt
Filed under: uncultured bacterium
Lineage: Bacteria
Description: partial 16S ribosomal RNA
Rfam family: Bacterial small subunit ribosomal RNA
Source: RNAcentral